This 182-nucleotide ribosomal RNA is filed under the name uncultured bacterium. RNAcentral's name for it is "partial 16S ribosomal RNA". It matches the Rfam family "Bacterial small subunit ribosomal RNA", at positions 1321 to 1500 of the family's 1533-position model. The record is from RNAcentral.
UGAAGCCGGAAUUGCUAGUAAUGGCAGGUCAGCAUACUGCCGUGAAUACGUUCCCGGGCCUUGUACACACCGCCCGUCACACCAUGAGAGUUGGGGAUACCCGAAGCCUGUGAGCUAACUAUUUAUAGGAGCAGCAGUCGAAGGUAGAAUCAAUGAUUGGGGUGAAGUCGUAACAAGGUAGC